GACGAACGCUGGCGGCGUGCCUAACACAUGCAAGUCGAACGGGGUCCAUGGGAGCUUGCUCCCGGAAGACCUAGUGGCGAACGGGUGAGUAACACGUGAGAAACCUGCCCUGGAGUGGGGAAUAACUCGGGGAAACUCGAGCUAAUACCGCAUACCCUCGGAUGGUCGCAUGGCCGACCGAGGAAAGAUUCAUCGCUUCAGGAGGGUCUCGCGGCCUAUCAGCUAGUUGGUGGGUAACGGCCUACCAAGGCAACGACGGUAGCUGGUUUGAGAGAACGAUCAGCCACACUGGGACUGAGACACGGCCCAGACUCCUACGGGAGGCAGCAGUGGGGAAUCUUGCGCAAUGGGCGAAAGCCUGACGCAGCAACGCCGCGUGCGGGAUGACGGCCU
This 393-nucleotide ribosomal RNA is filed under the name uncultured bacterium. Its description in RNAcentral is "bacterial SSU rRNA". It matches the Rfam family "Bacterial small subunit ribosomal RNA", at positions 28 to 417 of the family's 1533-position model. The record is from RNAcentral.